RNAcentral lists this ribosomal RNA (447 nucleotides) under uncultured bacterium. Its description in RNAcentral is "bacterial SSU rRNA". It matches the Rfam family "Bacterial small subunit ribosomal RNA", at positions 330 to 792 of the family's 1533-position model. The record is from RNAcentral.
ACCAGACUCCUACGGGAGGCAGCAGUGGGGAAUAUUGGGCAAUGGGCGCAAGCCUGACCCAGCAACGCCGCGUGAAGGAAGAAGGCUUUCGGGUUGUAAACUUCUUUUGACAGGGAAGAGCAGAAGACGGUACCUGUCGAAUAAGCCACGGCUAACUACGUGCCAGCAGCCGCGGUAAUACGUAGGUGGCAAGCGUUGUCCGGAUUUACUGGGUGUAAAGGGAGCGCAGGCGGCACGGCAAGCCUGAUGUGAAAGCCCGGGGCCCAACCCCGGGACUGCUCUUGGAACUGCGUGGCUGGAGUGCAGGAGGGGCAGGCGGAAUUCCUGGUGUAGCGGUGAAAUGCGUAGAUAUCAGGAGGAACACCGGUGGCGAAGGCGGCCUGCUGGACUGCAACUGACGUUGAGGCCCGAAAGCGUGGGGAGCAAACAGGAUUAGAUACCCCAGUA